Molecule: ribosomal RNA, 292 nt
Filed under: uncultured bacterium
Lineage: Bacteria
Description: partial 16S ribosomal RNA
Rfam family: Bacterial small subunit ribosomal RNA
Source: RNAcentral
GUGCCAGCAGCCGCGGUAAUACGGAGGGUGCAAACGUUGCUCGGAAUCAUUGGGCGUAAAGCGCACGUAGGUGGCUUGUUAAGUCGGGUGUGAAAUCCCUGGGCUCAACCCAGGAAGUGCACUCGAAACUGGCGAGCUUGAGUACUGAAGAGGGUCGCGGAAUUCCCGGUGUAGAGGUGAAAUUCGUAGAUAUCGGGAGGAACACCAGUGGCGAAGGCGGCGACCUGGGCAGAUACUGACACUGAGGUGCGAAAGCGUGGGGAGCAAACAGGAUUAGAAACCCUAGUAGUCC